RNAcentral lists this ribosomal RNA (445 nucleotides) under uncultured bacterium. RNAcentral describes it as "bacterial SSU rRNA". It matches the Rfam family "Bacterial small subunit ribosomal RNA", at positions 354 to 796 of the family's 1533-position model. The record is from RNAcentral.
GUGAGGAAUAUUGGUCAAUGGGCGAGAGCCUGAACCAGCCAUGCCGCGUGCAGGAAGAAUGCCCUAUGGGUUGUAAACUGCUUUUAUUUGGGAAUAAACCUUUCUACGUGUAGAAAGCUGAAGGUACUAAAUGAAUAAGCACCGGCUAACUCCGUGCCAGCAGCCGCGGUAAUACGGAGGGUGCAAGCGUUAUCCGGAAUCAUUGGGUUUAAAGGGUCCGCAGGCGGAUUAAUAAGUCAGUGGUGAAAUCUCAUAGCUUAACUAUGAAACUGCCAUUGAUACUGUUAGUCUUGAAUAUGGUCGAUGUGGGCGGAAUAUGACAUGUAGCGGUGAAAUGCUUAGAUAUGUUAUAGAACACCGAUAGCGAAGGCAGCUCACAAGGCCAUUAUUGACGCUCAUGGACGAAAGCGUGGGGAGCAAACAGGAUUAGAAACCCGUGUAGUCC